UUGAAACCAGGAUUAGAUACCCUGUUACUCUUUGUUUUAAAUCAAAAUACCGGGGUACUAAAUAGUUAUUGUCUUAAAACUCAAAGGAUUUGGCGGUAAUUUAGUCUAUUUAGAGGAACCUGUCCUAUAAACGAUAAACCACGUAAAAUCUUACCUUACUUAGUAAAUUCAGCUUGUAUACCGUCAUUAUUAGGUAACUUUGAUAAAAUUUAGUUACUGCAAUAAUUUUUUUUUAGUAUAUUAGAUCAAGGUGCAGCUUAUAGUGGGGAAGUGAUGGGUUACAAUAUAACAAAUAUAAACGGAUUAAAGAAUUAAAUUUUUUUAUAAAGGAGGAUUUAAUAGUAGAGAGGUUUUAAUAAGUCUUCUCGAUUUUAGCUCUAGAUUAUGUACAUAUCGCCCGUCGCAA
RNAcentral lists this ribosomal RNA (406 nucleotides) under Aristaeomorpha foliacea. Its description in RNAcentral is "partial 12S ribosomal RNA". It matches the Rfam family "Microsporidia small subunit ribosomal RNA", at positions 650 to 1204 of the family's 1311-position model. Lineage: Eukaryota; Metazoa; Arthropoda; Malacostraca; Decapoda; Aristeidae. The record is from RNAcentral.